Molecule: ribosomal RNA, 599 nt
Filed under: Lottia filosa
Lineage: Eukaryota; Metazoa; Mollusca; Gastropoda; Lottiidae
Description: partial 16S ribosomal RNA
Rfam family: Bacterial large subunit ribosomal RNA
Source: RNAcentral
GGCCCCCUGCAGGAGUUCACGGGGGGUCACACCUGCACAAUGACCUACGGGUUCAAUUGCCGCGGUAACCUGACCGUGCAAAGGUAGCGUAAUCACUAGCCUAUUAAUUGUUGGCCCGUAUGAAUGGUUUUACGCUGGUGGCGCUGUCUCGGUAGCACUUAUUUGAAUUUAACCUUUGGGUGAAAAGGCCCAAAUAAGCCUGAAAGACGAUUAGACCCUAUCGAACUUCAGAUAGACCUCUUAUAGACCACCUUCGUAGAAGGACUAAUAGGGCGAAAAUCUUUGGUUGGGGUAACCGGGGACUAAGUAAAACGCCCCCCCCAUUGUAAGGAACACCUGUUAUGGCAAUUGGCCUCAGGAGAGUAAUAACACAGGUGGAACAAAAGUAUGGCAAUACAUAGCUUACUUGUAGAAUGAACCUAAGGUUGCGCUAUAAGCAACGUCUGUUAAUAGGGAAGAGUUACCGUAGGGAUAACAGCGUAAUCUUCCCGGCGAGACCAUAUUAAGGGGAAGGUUUGCGACCUCGAUGUUGGCUUAGGGCUUCCUAGAAGUGCAGGAGCUUCUAAGGGUUGGUCUGUUCGACCAUUAAAGCCUUACGU